Molecule: long non-coding RNA, 447 nt
Filed under: Pan troglodytes (chimpanzee)
Lineage: Eukaryota; Metazoa; Chordata; Mammalia; Primates; Hominidae
Description: long non-coding RNA NONPTRT001266
Source: RNAcentral
GUAUUUGACCCUGGGGUGGUUUAGGGCAGGGAGAAAAUUGGCUUGCUUUUUGAGAGUUUGAUAAAGGAGAGGGUUGGGGGUGUGGGCUGUGGGUGGGUUGGUUCGUAUAUCAAAGACAGGCUCACAGGAGAGUCUUUCGCCAUGCCUAGGAAUUAGCUAGUCCUGUGAGGGCAGUCUCUCAAGGAUCAAGGCCCCAGAUGCCAGAGCAUCAAGAAUAUGGAAAAUCAGAGAACAUGAUCAAUAUACCAGCUCAUCCCUGGAUGAAGCUCCCUGCCCUUCCUCAUAGAGACAAAAAAGUGCAAUCCUCAAUUUUCCAGCCUACCUUGUAGCUGGGAGCUAUAAAAUGAAGUUCAUCAGGCAUGAGCGGUCUGCUGGUACUGCUUCUUCCCGCUUCCCCUUCUUCUUGCUUUGGGAUGGGAUGCGAUGUUUGCUGCUGUAACAGCCAUU